Molecule: ribosomal RNA, 1662 nt
Filed under: Bacteroides fragilis
Lineage: Bacteria; Pseudomonadati; Bacteroidota; Bacteroidia; Bacteroidales; Bacteroidaceae
Description: partial 23S ribosomal RNA
Rfam family: Bacterial large subunit ribosomal RNA
Source: RNAcentral
AAGAAAGUAAAUAAGGGCGCAUGGCGGAUGCCUUGGCUCUCGGAGGCGAUGAAGGACGUGAUAAGCUGCGAUAAGCUUCGGGUAGGUGCAAAUGACCUUUGAUCCGAAGAUUUCCGAAUGGGACAACCCGGCAUUCUGAAGGAAUGUCAUCCAACUUGGUUGGAGGCUAACGCAGGGAACUGAAACAUCUUAGUACCUGCAGGAAAAGAAAAUAAAUAAUGAUUCCCCUAGUAGUGGCGAGCGAACGGGGAUUAGCCCAAACCACCCAUGUUACGGCAUGUGUGGGGUUGUAGGACCACGCUCUCGCAAGACAGUUAUUGAGAAGAAACGACUGGAAAGUCGUGCCAUAGACGGUGAUAGCCCGGUAUUCUAAGGUAACCGAAGCGUAGUGGUAUCCUGAGUAGCGCGGAGCACGAGGAAUUCUGCGUGAAUCAGCCGGGACCAUCCGGUAAGGCUAAAUACUCCCGAGAGACCGAUAGCGAACCAGUACUGUGAAGGAAAGGUGAAAAGCACUUCGAAUAGAAGAGUGAAAUAGUCCCUGAAACCAUGCGCCUACAAGCGGUCGGAGCAGCUUAAGUUGUGACGGCGUGCCUUUUGCAUAAUGAACCUACGAGUUACUUUUUCCGGCAAGGUUAAGCAUCUUGAGAUGUGGAUCCGAAGCGAAAGCGAGUCUGAACAGGGCGGAUAGUCGGAAGGAGUAGACGCGAAACCAAGUGAUCUACCCUUGGGCAGGUUGAAGGUUAGGUAACACUAACUGGAGGACCGAACCGAUAAGCGUUGAAAAGCUUCCGGAUGACCUGAGGGUGGGGGUGAAAGGCUAAUCAAACUUGGAGAUAGCUCGUACUCCCCGAAAUGCAUUUAGGUGCAGCCUUGAGAGUUACUAAUGUGAGGUAGAGCGACUGAUAAGAUGCGAGGGCUUCACCGCCUAUCAAGUCUUGAUAAACUCCGAAUGCGCAUUAGUUCUAUCUCAGGAGUGAGGGCAUGGGUGCUAAGGUCCAUGUCCUAAAGGAGAAGAAUCCAGACCAUCAGCUAAGGUCCCCAAAUAAACACUAAGUUGAACUAACGAAGUCAGAUUGCUAAGACAGCUAGGAUGUUGGCUUGGAAGCAGCCAUUCAUUUAAAGAGUGCGUAACAGCUCACUAGUCGAGGAGUUUGGCGUGGAUAAUAAUCGGGCAUAAGUGUUUUACCGAAGCUAUGGGAUACGUAAGUAUCGGUAGGGGAGCAUUCCACUCAGCGUUGAAGGCUAAGCGUGAGCUUUACUGGAGCGUGUGGAAAAGCAAAUGUAGGUAUAAGUAACGAUAAAGGGGGUGAGAAACCCCCUCGCCGCAAGACUAAGGUUUCCUGAUCAACGCUAAUCGGAUCAGGGUUAGUCGGGUCCUAAGGCUCAGCCGAACGGUGAGGCCGAUGGCAGAACAGGUUAAUAUUCCUGUACUACCUGUAAGAGUGAUGUGGAGACGGAGGAGUGACAACGCCGCGGACUGACGGAAUAGUCCGUUAAAGGGUGUAGAUGUUGAUUAUCCCAGGCAAAUCCGGGAUAAGAGUCGAACCUGACAGUAUACCAAUUUCCCCGGAAAACGGUAAUAGUGCGUGUAAACAUACUCCCAAGAAAAUCCGCUAAACUUAAUCUUACAGGUACCCGUACCGUAAACGGACACACGUAGUC